Molecule: ribosomal RNA, 450 nt
Filed under: uncultured bacterium
Lineage: Bacteria
Description: partial 16S ribosomal RNA
Rfam family: Bacterial small subunit ribosomal RNA
Source: RNAcentral
GUGGGGAAUAUUGGACAAUGGGCGAAAGCCUGAUCCAGCCAUGCCACGUGUGUGAAGAAGGUCUUCGGAUUGUAAAGCACUUUAAGUUGGGAGGAAGGGCAGUAAGUUAAUACCUUGCUGUUUUGACGUUACCGACAGAAUAAGCACCGGCUAACUUCGUGCCAGCAGCCGCGGUAAUACGAAGGGUGCAAGCGUUAAUCGGAAUUACUGGGCGUAAAGCGCGCGUAGGUGGUUUUGUAAGUUGGAGGUGAAAUCCCCGGGCUCAACCUGGGAACUGCCUCCAAAACUGCAUGACUAGAGUACGGUAGAGGGUAGUGGAAUUUCCUGUGUAGCGGGGAAAUGCGUAGAUAUAGGAAGGAACACCAGUGGCGAAGGCGACUACCUGGACUGAUACUGACACUGAGGUGCGAAAGCGUGGGGAGCAAACAGGAUUAGAAACCCGGGUAGUCC